This 395-nucleotide ribosomal RNA is filed under the name uncultured bacterium. RNAcentral describes it as "partial 16S ribosomal RNA". It matches the Rfam family "Bacterial small subunit ribosomal RNA", at positions 523 to 918 of the family's 1533-position model. The record is from RNAcentral.
AUACGUAGGGUGCAAGCGUUAAUCGGAAUUACUGGGCGUAAAGCGUGCGCAGGCGGUUUUGUAAGACAGUGGUGAAAUCCCCGGGCUCAACCUGGGAACUGCCAUUGUGACUGCAAGGCUGGAGUGCGGCAGAGGGGGAUGGAAUUCCGCGUGUAGCAGUGAAAUGCGUAGAUAUGCGGAGGAACACCGAUGGCGAAGGCAAUCCCCUGGGCCUGUACUGACGCUCAUGCACGAAAGCGUGGGGAGCAAACAGGAUUAGAUACCCUGGUAGUCCACGCCCUAAACGAUGUCAACUGGUUGUUGGGUCUUCAUUGACUCAGUAACGAAGCUAACGCGUGAAGUUGACCGCCUGGGGAGUAGGGCCGCAAGGUUGAAACUCAAAGGAAUUGACGGGG